Molecule: long non-coding RNA, 498 nt
Organism: Pygocentrus nattereri (red-bellied piranha)
Lineage: Eukaryota; Metazoa; Chordata; Actinopteri; Characiformes; Serrasalmidae
Exons: 2
Source: RefSeq, a predicted model, not a curated record
CUCAGGAAGUGUCGAGAGCCACAGUCUGCCCGAUCUCACUGAACUGUAAAACAGAUCCAGACACCGAUCACGACCGCAAGAGCCCAGCGAGGCUCUUCCAACCACCACUGACACCAACAGUAGCACAAAGCCAGAAAGUGGGAUUUCACACUACACCAUGGCUGAGUUUACUCCACAGAGAGUCAUAACAGAAAGCAGAAGUAGUCUUGCGAACGGCUAAAGACUAAGUUCUCGGUGGGGCGGCAACAACGUCUCACGAGUCAGUAACACUUGAAGACAUUUCUUCAUCUAUUUCAUUUGUCUAGUCAUUUGUACACGUUGACAGGUGUAAAUACAGAGAAUGCGCCCACUGUUCAUUUGCUAAAUUUAAUAGGGGCACUGGGCCACACGAUAUAAUGUAGCCUGUGCAAAAGUUAUGGCACAUUUUAUCCUUCCUGUUUUUCCAACAUGUUAAACUUCACAAAUAAACGGAAAUUUUCCACUAAAACUUGCAGAAAA